AGCGUUUCUGUUUUCCUCCGCGGGAGGAGUUACUGACUUCCUGUACGCCGCGAGAAAAGCGCGAAAUGGCUGUUUUAGUGAGUGUACGAUCCCCGCAGAAACAUCUGAUGAUUCAUGUUGAUGAUUUUGGCUGAACAGUGACUCAAUGGUCCAAAUGUUUUUUUCUAGUGGCAAAAACUCCAGUCAACUUGGUCCCAAUGCUCAAGGAAGGAGUGAUGUUCUGAAGGCCAGAAAAUUGGGACCAACUGUACAGUAUAUUGGAGGGGAGAUUGCUUCAGAGGGCAGUCAAGGCACAUUUGCUGGAUUCCGCCUCAUAAUGUUGCUUCAAGAAAGGGACCUUAAACAGGUCCAUCCUGUUAAGAGUUGUGGCAUGAGCAGAUACUGUUGGGGAUAGUGGUCCUGUGUCAUGUAGGGUUUUAGAAGUGAUAACCAGUAUCUUGUAUUUCACUUCAAAGCCUGUUGGGAGCUAGUGCAGCUCAUGUUUUGUCGUCAUACUAAUGUGUGUGCAAAUCUACCUGCAUUCUGGACUCGUUGUAGUUUCUGGAUUAUCUUCAAGCAUGUUGCAGUAGUCUAUCCGAGAGAUGACUUAGAUGAUUAAUCGCAAGCAAAGCCUUUGAUGCAAACAGAGACAAUUAGCAAACAAGACAAAGUUGUGUAAAGGCCCUCCUACCUAGUUACAGCUACUAUCUGUUUGUCAAGUAGAAGCUAUGACUCAAGGAGAA
Long non-coding RNA from Crotalus tigris (Tiger rattlesnake), 722 nucleotides. RefSeq lists it as uncharacterized. The transcript has 3 exons. The record is from RefSeq and is a predicted model, not a curated record. Lineage: Eukaryota; Metazoa; Chordata; Lepidosauria; Squamata; Viperidae.